Oryzias melastigma (Indian medaka) is the source of this 399-nucleotide long non-coding RNA. RefSeq lists it as uncharacterized. The record is from RefSeq and is a predicted model, not a curated record. Lineage: Eukaryota; Metazoa; Chordata; Actinopteri; Beloniformes; Adrianichthyidae. The transcript is spliced from 3 exons.
AAGAAACCCCGUCUGCGCCACUUGAAUCUCCGAGGACGCCGUGACUCCCUGGAGACCAGUGAGUGGAUUUGAUUGGGUCGGGCGUACGAAAUGGCGGCAGAGAGACACACAAACCGGGAGGAUGUGGAUUAUAUGAGUUAGAAAUCAAGUCAUGUCGCUUCGGGUUUCUGGUCUUCUAUGGAGAUGUUGGGAGACAGAUUUACUCCGCGCACUCACCCCAACCUAAUGGGACAACUUGGAAAGAGAGUAGCUAAUAAAAUGCCGGUGCCACGAAGCAGCAGUCCGGUCAGCGUAUACGUCGAGCUCCCAAGCAUCGUCGAUCAAGCUUUUUCAACUAUUUCGUGGGAUGAUUUGGAGGGUUGCUCCUCUGAGUCAAGACCAGAUUCGCUCAUCUCCCAG